This 2467-nucleotide unclassified non-coding RNA is filed under the name Cimex lectularius (bed bug). RNAcentral describes it as "delta-1-pyrroline-5-carboxylate dehydrogenase, mitochondrial, transcript variant X1". Lineage: Eukaryota; Metazoa; Arthropoda; Insecta; Hemiptera; Cimicidae. The record is from RNAcentral.
CACAAUUGUAGUGGGAGAAGUCAGGUGUUUUCAUCGAUAGUCCAAGUGACGUCAGUGCUAAACCAAAGGAAGCGACCAUUUGUAGUUUAGCAAUCCGUAUUCAGUCCGUUGCUGGCUGAAAUGAUAGUAAACCAACACAAAUAAACAUUUCCAAAAACAAAACAAAAAAAUAAAAUAAAGCAAGACGAAGUAUCAAAAUUCGCGGAUUUGUUUAUAUCGACACGAGAAGACAAAUAGAAAAGGGAAUCUAUCAAGAUGUUGACUUUAUCUCGACUCGGCCUUAUCACAAAUCUACAGAGGCUGACAACACGAGCUGUCUCCUCUGUCGUUCCGGAUGCGAAGGUCGAAGAGUUCACCGUUAAGAAUGAACCCGUACUCGAAUAUCUGCCCGGCAGCAAAGAGAGGAAGGAGCUCGAAUGCGCCCUGGAUAAGAUGGCAGGUCAGACUUGGGAGGUGCCGAUCAUCAUCGGCGGUGAAAAGCUAACUACGAAAGAAUGCCGCUUUCAAGUCAUGCCUCACAACCAUCAAAAAAAGCUUGCCAAGUUUUACUAUGCUUCAACAGACAUAGUUUUAAAAGCAAUAAAAAAGGCAAAUGAAGCUCAGAAGAGCUGGGAUUUAGUGCCUCUCAAGGAGAGGAUAGCCAUUUGGAGGAAAGCGGCCGACUUGAUGGCCACCAAGUAUAGGAUGGAGUUGAACGCUGCAACGAUGCUCGGCCAGGCCAAAACCGUUGUACAGGCUGAGAUUGACUCAGCAGCCGAAUUGAUCGACUUCAUCAGAUUCAAUGCAUAUUACGCGUCUCAAAUUGUCAAGUAUGCGCCUGUAAGUCCAGACCCGAAGGUGACAUUGAACUCGAUGAGAUACAGAGGCUUGGAAGGGUUCGUCGCCUCCGUCUCACCGUUUAACUUCACGGCCAUUGGUGGAAACUUGGCUUACACGCCGGCUCUUAUGGGUUGUUCAACGCUAUGGAAACCAUCGGAUACAGCAUUACUCUCUAACUACCUGAUCUACCAGGUAAUGACAGAAGCAGGCGUUCCACCAGGCGUUGUCAACUUCGUUCCCGCAGACGGCCCGGUUUUCGGUGAUGCAAUCACAUCUUCACCCACCCUUGCCGGAAUCAACUUCACGGGUUCAGUGCCGACGUUCAACAGGCUAUGGACUCAAGUAGGUAAAAACGUUGACAAGUAUAAGAACUACCCAAGGCUAAUCGGCGAGUGUGGAGGCAAAAACUAUCACUUUGUACACCCGAGUGCCGAUGUUGAAUCUGUUAUUUCCGGCACGAUUAGGUCUGCGUUUGAAUUCUGCGGUCAGAAGUGUUCAGCUUGCUCAAGGAUGUAUGUCCCUGAAUCUCUCUGGCCAAAGAUUAAAGAAGGACUUUUGGAAACAAGGAAGAAGCUGAAAGUAGGAGACGUCAGAGAUUUCGAUACAUUUAUGUCCGCUGUUAUUGACGAUAAGGCUUACAAAAGGAUAAAAGGAUACAUUGAAAUGGCGAAAAAAUCGGACUGUUUAGAAGUCCUGGGAGGUGGAAACUGUGUCGAUAAGUGUGGUUACUUCGUCGAGCCUACGAUUGUUGAGUCCAAAGAUCCUUUGAAUAAGAUAAUGACAGAAGAAAUUUUCGGACCUGUUCUUACCAUCUUUGUUUACGAUGAUAGUGAUAUCGAACAGACACUUGACCUUGUUGCUGACUCGACACCAUAUGCCCUGACGGGUGCUGUCUUUGCCCAAGACUUGAAAUUUCAAUCGUAUGCUUUGGAAAAACUCAGGAUGGUAUCCGGUAAUUAUUAUAUUAAUGACAAAUCCACUGGAUCUGUUGUCGCACAACAACCUUUCGGAGGUGGAAGAAUGUCAGGAACAAACGACAAAGCAGGUGGGCCGCAUUACAUCCUUCGUUGGACGACACCGCAAUCGAUUAAAGAAACUUUCGUCCCACUCAGAGAUAUCGUAUAUCCCUACAUGAAAAAAUAAAAAUACUACUUAAUAAAACAUUCUUAUUCAUGGGGACGUACUGUGAUACAGGGAAAGAAAGGCCAGGUUCAGAAUGGAUUCCGUAGCUGAUGUUAACCAUGGUUUAGAAAAUGUUACCACUUAUUUAUGUUUUUUCUUCAUUUUGAGGCACAGCUUUUUUUCAGUAUUGAUAUGCGGAAUCUCGUUUUAGUUAUUUUAUAUUUCACAUUUGUGUUAAUAAGUACCAACCUAUGAUAACAUAUAAUGUUUAGCGGAAAAAAAAAUAAAGAGAUUUGUAAGAAAAUAAAAUCAUAUUCAAUAGGUAUCUAUAAUUAAUAUUUAUAUUAAGUUACACAGGAAAUAGUUAAUGUAUAUUUACUUAUAACUGUUAAGUAUUGGCUAAAAAAAUACCUAAAACACAAAAUAAAUGAGUCACUUCAUUAUAGUUAUUCAUUUUUUAGUUUAUAAAUGUCUCCAUGUUUUUAGCACUGUGAGAUAGUGCUACAUGCUUUGCCUAUCAUAUAUU